GUUUCAUCCAUUCCACUAUUCGCUAGUGCUAAUCUACGCUGUGAUAGGGAGGAGGAGGAGGAAGGGAUCGAGCAGCCGGAGGUGCCGAGCACGAGCGCGCGCCUGGACCCCAUCCGCCGCACCACCGGCGAGCCCACCACCGAGAACGCCGUGAACGACGUUCUGGGCGGCGUGGUAGGCGAGGAAGACGAAGAGGAAGGCCGAGCUCAGCAGGUGCAGGUCGCGGGUCUGGGACGUCGCCGCCCUCGCCGCCGCCGCGGCGCCGCGUCCGCCGGAUACCAGCGGGGCGGCCUCCUCCUCCUCCUCGUCGAGGGCCACCGCGAGCUCGGCUCCGGCGGGAGCGUGGCCGUCUUCCAUGGCGGAUUUGGGGGGAGGAGUUGGUGGUGGCGUGGCUUCGGUGCCAAACUGCGCGAGCACUCUGCUCUGCUUGUGAUUUGGGGGAAGGGGGGAGGGGCUUGUUUUUCUAAAUUUAAGGUCUACGGGGGGUGUUUGUGAUAAAUUAAGUGGUUUCAGGAGAAUAGCAGAUAGUUUAGGGGGUCUUUGUGAGAAUUUUAGCUGUUUCGUGUCCGAAGAAGUCCGAACC
Molecule: long non-coding RNA, 583 nt
Filed under: Oryza sativa Indica Group (long-grained rice)
Lineage: Eukaryota; Viridiplantae; Streptophyta; Magnoliopsida; Poales; Poaceae
Description: lncRNA OsLaMu_12g0017560
Source: RNAcentral